RNAcentral lists this ribosomal RNA (433 nucleotides) under uncultured bacterium. RNAcentral's name for it is "partial 16S ribosomal RNA". It matches the Rfam family "Bacterial small subunit ribosomal RNA", at positions 29 to 507 of the family's 1533-position model. The record is from RNAcentral.
AACGAACGCUGGCGGCAUGCCUAACACAUGCAAGUCGAACGAGACCUUCGGGUCUAUUGGCGCACGGGUGCGUAACGCGUGGGAACCUGCCCUUAGGUUCGGACUAACUCCCCGAAAGGGGUGCUAAUACCGGAUAAUGUCUUCGGACCAAAGAUUUAUCGCCUUUGGUUGGGCCCGCGUUGGAUUAGCUAGUUGGUAGGGUAAAAGCCUACCAAGGCGACGAUCCAUAGCUGGUCUGAGAGGGUGAUCAGCCACACUGGGACUGAGACACGGCCCAGAAUCCUACGGGAGGCAGCAGUGGGGAAUAUUGGAAAAUGGGCGAAAGGAUGAUCCAGCAAGGACGCGUGAGUGAUGAAGGCCGUAGGGUUGUAAAGCUCUUUUACCCGGGAUGAUAAUGACAGUACCGGGAGAAUAAGCUCCGGCUAACUACGUG